GCAAGGUUUUUCCAAUUUCAUUUGGCAACUGAUUUGCAUUCAUUUGCGUUAUAUCGGCAGGCAGCUGCCACGUUUUAUAAUCCAGGAAGUUGUACAAGAAGUCCCUGGUCCCUGACUGAUGUAGCUGCUCUGGGCUCUGGGGUGUGAGCUCUUUUUUUUUUUUUUUUGAGACAGAGUCUUGCUCUGUCUCCCAGGCUGGCUUGCAGUGGUGCGAUCUUGGCUCGCUGCAAACUCCGCCUCCCGGGUUCUCGCCAUUCUCCCGAGCAGCCGGGCUGUGAGCUUCUAAGAGGGGACAGAAGAUCAAGUAGGGCCAGUCUUAAAAGAGGGCAGGUUAUUAAAGAAUAGAUUAUUUGUUUCCAUCUGGAACCAUGUAACCACAUCGAUGCAGACAACAGUCAGGAACAUGUGCCUUCUGUGCUUGGUCCCUGGAUGCACCCGAUGGGAGGGCGUUGCCAAGCACAUCGUCAGAGUUAUUGUCAGGACCAGCAAGCUCCUGAGUGUGACUGAAAAUAAUCUCAUUUCUCCUCUGUGAUUUUGGACAAAUCCUUUUUUUUCUCUGGCCUCCUGUGUAAUGUUUUAAGUUCAGUCCUGCUCUAGCAUCUCAAUAUUCCAGCAUCUCUCUACAAAACCUCGUGGGCUGCCAGCUUUGACCCAGGCCACAGUAACCUGAUCCCAGGUUAGGGAUGUGGGCCAAAGAGGAGCAUUGCCAUGAUGAAGAUAACCUUCAGGCCUGCAGCCCAUGGCCACACAUCACCAUAUGUGGCAGGGGACGUGGGAGAACAUAUGGGAGCUGUGACAUGGCCAUUCUGGGUAUUUGCUUCUACAAAGAGCCAAGGGGAUGAUCAGAAACACUUCAUCUGGUACAGUCUGAAUGGACUGCAAGUAAUUCAGAAAAGUUUACUGGGAGGGUCUGGGGAAUUCAGACAGACAUUCUGUGGUCACUGGACAGAAAAGGACACAGGUUCAGACACGUGGAGUGGCUCGCCUGUGGUAGCACAGCAGAGUAUUGAAACCAGAUCCUGGGGCUUCCAACUUUCAGCCCAGACCCCGUCUAUUUGAGGACUGGCUCCAGCCCUGCCACUGUCUCCUUGUGCAGAAGUUUUCUCCUUUCUUUGAGCCUCACUCUCUCCAUCUGCAAAAUAAAGUGCUUGGACU
RNAcentral lists this long non-coding RNA (1155 nucleotides) under Macaca mulatta (Rhesus monkey). RNAcentral's name for it is "lncRNA (ENSMMUG00000062627.1)". Lineage: Eukaryota; Metazoa; Chordata; Mammalia; Primates; Cercopithecidae. The record is from RNAcentral.